GAGAGAGGAUGUUAAAAAGCUGUACCUGGUUGAUUUUCUUUGGCAUGUUUUCUUCAUUUCUGAAAGGAGGAAGGAGUGAGAAUGAUGUGAUUAAUUAAUAGUAAAGGAAGAUGGCGAGAGGGAGACGUGUCGCUGCUUAAAAUUCACUGGCAGAGAAGAUGGAGAGAGAGAGAGCGUCAGUGUCAGCCUUCAAACCGAAGACAAGGGAAUCUAAC
RNAcentral lists this long non-coding RNA (215 nucleotides) under Carica papaya (papaya). RNAcentral describes it as "long non-coding RNA (CPAP_LNC014071)". The record is from RNAcentral. Lineage: Eukaryota; Viridiplantae; Streptophyta; Magnoliopsida; Brassicales; Caricaceae.